GGCAGACUAAUUUCUUUGAUCCGGCGACAACUGGACGAAGGUCGACGCGGUACUGGUUUCGCGCCUAGGCGGUGCAUGGCUUGUGGCGUGACGGGCCACAAUAGGAGUACCUGUGGACGUGCUUCUCGUUAGAAUACUUGGCGUCAUGAAGAUAGGACAGUCUAGUUAAAGUAAUAGGUUUUAUUUCAUUCAAUUUAAAUUGCAGUAGUGAAGAUGUAUUUCCCUUGAGCAUUGUCAAUGUAUUUCCAUGAUGGAUGAAUAUAAUAAAAUGUUCUGUCAUGUUGGUUUUGUAUGAAGAUUGUGAAUUACGAUUCAGAAUCGUUGGUAUUUUCUUCUUGUACUGUCCCUUUUUUUUAUAGCAGACUGUCCCUUUUCUUGUGUUUUGUUGUUUGCUGGUUGGAAAAUCGAUGUCAGCUGCAAAACUUCAUGGCGAUUGAGAGGUCGAAUUACGUGGUAUGUAUAGGAUGUAGUCCUUUUUUUCACUAUAUGACCGAAGUAUGUAGUAUGAAUGACCAUGUGAAGAGAUUCGACCAUGGAUUAGGAGUAUACAUGUAGAUGAAGUUAUAAAUAUGGUACGGAAUUAGAGGUAGUAUUAAUAAGAUUGUUCCUGUUGGAGUACGUAGUAUGGAGUCGGCUGUUUCUAUGUGAGUACGAAGUAUGUAGUAUUUUGUAUCUGGAGGUGUAUGUAGUAUGUAGUAUGUAUGUGUAAGAAUAAAGGUGUUUGGAAGUGUGUAGUUUAAUUCGUCGCACAAGCUGAAGCUUUUUUGGCAGACCCAUGUUCUUGCCUAUUAGUACGUACUUUCAAAAGAGCUCGCCUAAAUGCAGAUUUGGAGUUGCUACCGCUACCGCCGGGCUUUCCCAUACCUACAACGGGAUAAAAAAUACUCAGUGUACGUAUGAGGCUUCGAGUCAUUGUAGGCCGAUGUAUAAGAAGGAUUAGUAGUUGCAUGGACGUAGGAACUCUUGUCUCAUCACGUACCAGAUCGGACCAUCGUUGGCCAGGCCUUCUCUUCAACGUCUUGCCGGCGGCAGAAAAAUACUUGCGAUGGCGCCGAUCCACGGGCGCCAGCCGGCGAUGAAAGAAACGGCCUGGCAGAUACUAAAAAGUUUGUUAGCGCGUACAACAACAACCUAGGUUCUUAAUAGCUGGAUAAGGAUGGCUUUGCGUAGGAAAUAGUCUUGGUUGGUUAUUAGCCUGAUUCAAAAUUUGGGAUAACAACAGAAACGAUGGGAUAAGCAUUUAAUAAAUAAAUUAAAUAAAUUAUAAGCAAUGGCAAACGGGUCGGAUGCUAGUUUCUGCUAGCCCGUUAUCAUUGGCAACGAUACAUACAAGAAAACUCACGCUCCAUCCAGGAAGCUGAGAUCUACGGUGGAUUCUUAGGGGGUAACUACCCCCGGUAGUAGUAUGGAAUUUCCCUAUAUAUAGGACAUAUUUUAUCUACUACCAGGAGUAGUUACCCCCUCCCUCGUUGGUCUCCACGUGUCCCGCAGGUACGAGAAGUCCAGCCGGGUGUAGGAUGUAGCGAUCGUGGGCAGAACCCGUUAACCCGGAAGCUUAUUUAAUUAUUCGAUGGAGUUUUUUUUAGAUAAAGCAUUCCCUGGUUGUAGGUGGGCAGGUACGAGCAACUAAUUCGCUAAUCACGGGUUCACGCAGCCCUAUAAAUAGGGCCUACACGUUUCGUCCCAGACGCCAGAUACUGCAGCAGAUUAGUUUACAAUUAAAGAAUAGUAUCUUUCUAUUUGGUAGUAUGGACGGAGCUGAUGGAUCCGAGAAGCCCGCCGGUGAAGAGAGUGGACGCAUUGGAUCUGAUCAGCCCGCCGGUGACGAGAAUCAAAGCAUCACCAUUUCCCUUGAGUAGGUAUAUUCUUAAUAUGUGUGUACACGUAUUCUAGUAAGUUUAUAUCUAGUUGGUGAUUUCAUUUCUUUUUUUUGUGGCAGUCACUACAACCGCAUGAUGGAAGUUAUUGGGAGGAUCGACCAUUUGAUGACCACAAUUGAGAUGCAUGGCAGACUAAUUUCUUUGAUCCGGCGACAACUGGACGAACGUCGACGCGGUACUGGUUUCGCGCCUAGGCGGUGCAUGGCUUGUGGCGUGACGGGCCACAAUAGGAGUACCUGUGGACGUUAGAAUACUUGGCGUCAUGAAUAUAGGACAGUCUAGUUAAAGUAAUAGUUAAAGUAAUAGGUUUUAUUUCAUUCAAUUUAAAUUGCAGUAGUGAAGAUGUAUUUCCCUUGAGCAUUGUCAAUGUAUUUCCAUGAUGGAUUAAUAUAAUAAAAUGUUCUGUCAUGUUGGUUUUGUAUGAAGAUUGUGAAUUACGAUUCAGAAUCGUUGGUAUUUUCUUCUUG
This 2347-nucleotide long non-coding RNA is filed under the name Triticum aestivum (bread wheat). RNAcentral describes it as "long non-coding RNA (TAES_LNC016716)". Lineage: Eukaryota; Viridiplantae; Streptophyta; Magnoliopsida; Poales; Poaceae. The record is from RNAcentral.